RNAcentral lists this microRNA precursor (67 nucleotides) under Bombyx mori (domestic silkworm). RNAcentral's name for it is "mir-2774 microRNA precursor family". It matches the Rfam family "mir-2774 microRNA precursor family". The record is from Rfam by way of RNAcentral. Lineage: Eukaryota; Metazoa; Arthropoda; Insecta; Lepidoptera; Bombycidae.
ACAACAUUCGGACCGUCGGUAUACCGAGCAAUUUGAUUCGCUUGGUGGAAGAUCUUCCCUUCGCUUU